RNAcentral lists this ribosomal RNA (253 nucleotides) under uncultured bacterium. RNAcentral describes it as "partial 16S ribosomal RNA". It matches the Rfam family "Bacterial small subunit ribosomal RNA", at positions 524 to 776 of the family's 1533-position model. The record is from RNAcentral.
UACGUAGGGUGCAAGCGUUGUCCGGAAUUAUUGGGCGUAAAGAGCUCGUAGGCGGUCUGUCGCGUCUGCUGUGAAAACUCGGGGCUUAACCCCGGGCCUGCAGUGGGUACGGGCAGGCUAGAGUGCGGUAGGGGUGACUGGAAUUCCUGGUGUAGCGGUGGAAUGCGCAGAUAUCAGGAGGAACACCGAUGGCGAAGGCAGGUCACUGGGCCGCAACUGACGCUGAGGAGCGAAAGCAUGGGGAGCGAACAGG